RNAcentral lists this ribosomal RNA (622 nucleotides) under Myrothecium atroviride. RNAcentral's name for it is "eukaryotic LSU rRNA". It matches the Rfam family "Eukaryotic large subunit ribosomal RNA", at positions 1 to 648 of the family's 3401-position model. Lineage: Eukaryota; Fungi; Ascomycota; Sordariomycetes; Hypocreales; Stachybotryaceae. The record is from RNAcentral.
GUUGACCUCGGAUCAGGUAGGAAUACCCGCUGAACUUAAGCAUAUCAAUAAGCGGAGGAAAAGAAACCAACAGGGAUUGCCUCAGUAACGGCGAGUGAAGCGGCAACAGCUCAAAUUUGAAAUCUGGCCCUAGGCCCGAGUUGUAAUUUGCAGAGGAUGCUUUUGGCAAGGUGCCUUCCGAGUUCCCUGGAACGGGACGCCAUAGAGGGUGAGAGCCCCGUCUGGUCGGACACCGAGCCUCUGUAAAGCUCCUUCGACGAGUCGAGUAGUUUGGGAAUGCUGCUCAAAAUGGGAGGUAUAUGUCUUCUAAAGCUAAAUACCGGCCAGAGACCGAUAGCGCACAAGUAGAGUGAUCGAAAGAUGAAAAGCACUUUGAAAAGAGAGUUAAAUAGCACGUGAAAUUGUUGAAAGGGAAGCGUUUAUGACCAGACUUGGCCCGGUUGAUCAUCCAGCCUUCUGGCUGGUGCACUCUGCCGGUCCAGGCCAGCAUCAGUUCGUCGCGGGGGAUAAAGGUUUCGGGAAUGUAGCUCCUCCGGGAGUGUUAUAGCCCGUUGCGUAAUACCCUGCGGUGGACUGAGGUCCGCGCUUCUGCAAGGAUGCUGGCGUAAUGGUCAUCAACGAC